GUGGGGAAUCUUGCGCAAUGGGCGAAAGCCUGACGCAGCCAUGCCGCGUGAAUGGUGAAGGUCUUAGGAUUGUAAAAUUCUUUCACCGGGGACGAUAAUGACGGUACCCGGAGAAGAAGCUCCGGCUAACUUCGUGCCAGCAGCCGCGGUAAUACGAAGGGGGCUAGCGUUGCUCGGAAUUACUGGGCGUAAAGGGCGCGUAGGCGGACAGCUUAGUCAGAGGUGAAAGCCCAGGGCUCAACCUUGGAAUUGCCUUUGAUACUGGCUGUCUUGAGUUUGGGAGAGGUGAGUGGAACUCCGAGUGUAGAGGUGAAAUUCGUAGAUAUUCGGAAGAACACCAGUGGCGAAGGCGACUCACUGGCCCAAUACUGACGCUGAGGCGCGAAAGCGUGGGGAGCAAACAGGAUUAGAAACCCCGGUAGUCC
RNAcentral lists this ribosomal RNA (425 nucleotides) under uncultured bacterium. Its description in RNAcentral is "partial 16S ribosomal RNA". It matches the Rfam family "Bacterial small subunit ribosomal RNA", at positions 354 to 796 of the family's 1533-position model. The record is from RNAcentral.